GACGAACGCUGGCGGCGUGCUUAACACAUGCAAGUCGAACGGAAAGGCCCUGCUUUUGUGGGGUGCUCGAGUGGCGAACGGGUGAGUAACACGUGAGUAACCUGCCCUUGACUUUGGGAUAACUUCAGGAAACUGGGGCUAAUACCGGAUAGGAGCUCCUGCUGCAUGGUGGGGGUUGGAAAGUUUCGGCGGUUGGGGAUGGACUCGCGGCUUAUCAGCUUGUUGGUGGGGUAGUGGCUUACCAAGGCUUUGACGGGUAGCCGGCCUGAGAGGGUGACCGGCCACAUUGGGACUGAGAUACGGCCCAGACUCCUACGGGAGGCAGGAGUGGGGAAUAUUGCACAAUGGGCGGAAGCCGGAUGCAGCAACGCCGCGUGCGGGAUGACGGCCUUCGGGUUGUAAACCGCUUUCGCCUGUGACGAAGCGUGAGUGACGGUAAUGGGGAAAGAAGCACCGGCUAACUACGU
Molecule: ribosomal RNA, 467 nt
Filed under: uncultured bacterium
Lineage: Bacteria
Description: partial 16S ribosomal RNA
Rfam family: Bacterial small subunit ribosomal RNA
Source: RNAcentral